This 291-nucleotide ribosomal RNA is filed under the name uncultured Burkholderiales bacterium. Its description in RNAcentral is "partial 16S ribosomal RNA". It matches the Rfam family "Bacterial small subunit ribosomal RNA", at positions 1 to 300 of the family's 1533-position model. Lineage: Bacteria; Pseudomonadati; Pseudomonadota; Betaproteobacteria; Burkholderiales. The record is from RNAcentral.
GUCAGAGUUUGAUCCUGGCUCAGAUUGAACGCUGGCGGUAUGCCUUACACAUGCAAGUCGAACGGUAGGGGGGAGCAAUCCCCUGAGAGUGGCGAACGGGUGAGUAAUACAUCGGAACGUGCCCAGUCGUGGGGGGAUAACGUAGCGAAAGCUACGCUAAUACCGCAUACGACCUGAGGGUGAAAGCGGGGGUACCGUAAGGCCUCGCGCGAUUGGAGCGGCCGAUGGCAGAUUAGGUAGUUGGUGGGUAAACGGCCACCAAGCCGACGAUCUGUAGCUGGUCUGAGAGGA